AUGGUUUUUAUCCUCAUCCCCGCCCCAUCACCCAUCAAACCAAGACCCAUCUCCGCCCCAAUUGGGGCGAGGAUGGAGCAGAUCUCUUAUUUGACCCGUCACACUAACAUCCCUAGUUAUAAUUUUCUUCCCAGUCCUCCGGAUUGAUUCUCAUCACUCGCCACUCGCCUCUCCAAACCAAAAAAAAAAAAAAAAAAAAAAAAAAAAAAAAAAAAGAUUUUACUCCGAAUGUGAAAAUAGUGUAAUUUCUUAUUGAAAUCUUCCUGAUUGUUAACUAAAAAUCCCUCAAAUUCGUCGAAAGUACUCCGUAAAUAUUUCUAUUGUUAUGAAUUCACAAUCACCAUCUAUUACUCUCCAUUUAAGGGGAUGGAAAGAAACAUAAAUUAGCAUUUUCUUAAUAGGUUUGAUAAAAUUGCCAAAAAAAUAGCAUGAACUUCUGGCUUCUGCGCGCCAACUGUUUGAUGAAAUGCCUGAAAGAGCCAGCUCUAGACUUGAAUCCGUCACCAGAAUAUCCAGUUGGGCAAGAACAUCUGUAACUCCCUGGAAUAUUUUUACAGUCCAUGCUACAUGGGCUAUUUGAACCAGCAGCACACUCAUCAAUAUCUGGGAAAAAAGCAAUUUGGUUGUUAAAAUUUG
Molecule: long non-coding RNA, 636 nt
Organism: Chenopodium quinoa (quinoa)
Lineage: Eukaryota; Viridiplantae; Streptophyta; Magnoliopsida; Caryophyllales; Amaranthaceae
Exons: 3
Source: RefSeq, a predicted model, not a curated record